GGAUGAUCAGCCACACUGGAACUGACACACGGUCCAGACUCCUACGGGAGGCAGCAGUGAGGAAUUUUGCGCAAUGGGGGAAACCCUGACGCAGCAACGCCGCGUGGAGGAUGAAGGCCCUCGGGUCGUAAACUCCUGUCAGAGGGGACGAAAGGACUUAGGGUUAAUACCCUUAGGUAUUGACGGUACCCUACGAGGAAGCCCCGGCUAACUCCGUGCCAGCAGCCGCGGUAAUACGGGGGGGGCAAGCGUUGUUCGGAAUUACUGGGCGUAAAGGGCGCGUAGGCGGCCCAGCGAGUCUUUCGUGAAAUCCCACAGCUCAACUGUGGAACUGCGGAAGAUACUGCAGGGCUUGAGUCCGGGAGAGGGGAGUGGAAUUCCCAGUGUAGCGGUGAAAUGCGUAGAUAUUGGGAGGAACACCGGUGGCGAAGGCGGCUCCCUGGACCGGUACUGACGCUGAGGCGCGAAAGCUAGGGGAGCAAACGGGAUUAGAUACCCCGGUAGUCCUAGCUGUAAACGUUGAGCACUUUGUGUGGCGGGUAUCGACCCCUGCCGUGCAGAAGCUAACGCAUUAAGUGCUCCGCCUGGGGAGUACGGCCGCAAGGCUGAAACUCAAAGGAAUUGACGGGGGCCCGCACAAGCGGUGGAGCAUGUGGUUCAAUUCGACGCAACGCGAAGAACCUUACCUGGAUUUGAACUGCUGGGGACCGGUGCAGAGAUGUACCUUUCCUUCGGGACCCUAGUAGAGGUGCUGCAUGGCUGUCGUCGGCUCGUGUCGUGAGAUGUUGGGUUAAGUCCCGCAACGAGCGCAACCCUUGCCCUCUGUUGCCACCAGGUAAUGCUGAGCACUCUGAGGGGACUGCCGGUGAUAAACCGGAGGAAGGUGGGGAUGACGUCAAGUCCUCAUGGCCUUUAUGUCCAGGGCUACACACGUGCUACAAUGGCUGGUACAAAGGGUUGCAAAACCGUGAGGUGGAGCUAAUCCCAAAAAGCCGGCCCCAGUUCGGAUUGGAGUCUGCAACUCGACUCCAUGAAGUUGGAAUCGCUAGUAAUCGCGGAUCAGCAGGCCGCGGUGAAUACGUUCCCGGGCCUUGUACACACCGCCCGUCACAUCACGAAAGUUGGCUGUACUAGAAGUCGCUAGGCUAACCCGCAAGGGAGGCAGGCGCCGACGGUAUGGUUGAUGAUUGGGGUGAAGUCGUAACAAGGUA
Molecule: ribosomal RNA, 1211 nt
Filed under: metagenome
Description: bacterial SSU rRNA
Rfam family: Bacterial small subunit ribosomal RNA
Source: RNAcentral